Molecule: ribosomal RNA, 292 nt
Filed under: uncultured bacterium
Lineage: Bacteria
Description: partial 16S ribosomal RNA
Rfam family: Archaeal small subunit ribosomal RNA
Source: RNAcentral
GUGCCAGCCGCCGCGGUAAUACCGGCAGCCCGAGUGAUGGCCGAUCUUAUUGGGCCUAAAGCGUCCGUAGCUGGGUCUGAAAGUCCAUCGGGAAAUCCACUCGCUCAACGAGUGGCCGUCCGGUGGAAACUCCACACCUUGGGACCGGAAGGCUCGAAGGGUACGGCCGGGGUAGGAGUGAAAUCCUGUAAUCCCGUCCGGACCACCGAGGGCGAAAGCACUUCGAGAAAACGUAUCCGACAGGGAGGGACGAAAGCGAAGGUCGUGAACCGGAUAAGAUACCCGGUAGUCC